This 359-nucleotide ribosomal RNA is filed under the name Fusobacterium sp. canine oral taxon 169. RNAcentral describes it as "bacterial SSU rRNA". It matches the Rfam family "Bacterial small subunit ribosomal RNA", at positions 102 to 474 of the family's 1533-position model. Lineage: Bacteria; Fusobacteriati; Fusobacteriota; Fusobacteriia; Fusobacteriales; Fusobacteriaceae. The record is from RNAcentral.
ACGGGUGAGUAACGCGUAAAGAACUUGCCUCACAGAUAGGGACAACAUUUAGAAAUGAAUGCUAAUACCUAAUAUUAUGGAAAUAGGGCAUCCUAUAAUUAUGAAAGCUAAAUGCGCUGUGAGAGAGCUUUGCGUCCCAUUAGCUAGUUGGAGAGGUAACGGCUCACCAAGGCGAUGAUGGGUAGCCGGCCUGAGAGGGUGAACGGCCACAAGGGGACUGAGACACGGCCCUUACUCCUACGGGAGGCAGCAGUGGGGAAUAUUGGACAAUGGACCAAGAGUCUGAUCCAGCAAUUCUGUGUGCACGAUGAAGUUUUUCGGAAUGUAAAGUGCUUUCAGUUGGGAAGAAAAGANUGACG